Molecule: ribosomal RNA, 497 nt
Filed under: uncultured bacterium
Lineage: Bacteria
Description: partial 16S ribosomal RNA
Rfam family: Bacterial small subunit ribosomal RNA
Source: RNAcentral
GAUGAACGCUGGCGGCGUGCCUAAUACAUGCAAGUCGAGCGAACGGACGAGAAGCUUGCGCCUCUGAGGUUAGCGGCGGACGGGAGAGUAACACGUGGAUAACCUACCUAUAAGAAUGGGAUAACUUCGGGAAACCGGAGCUACGACCGGAUAAUAUUUUGAACCGCAUGGUUCAAAAGUGAAAUUCGGUCUUGCUGUGACUUAUAGAUGAAUCCGCGCUCCAUUAGCUAGUUGGUACGGUGACGGCUUACCAAGGCAACGAUGCAUAGCCGCCCUGAGAGGGUGGACGCCCACCCGGUAUCUGAGACACAGCACCGACUCCUGCGCGGGGCCGCAGUCGGGACUCCUACGCGAUGGACGAAAGCCUGACGUAGGACCGCCGCGUGAGUCCUGAACGUCCUCGGCUCGUUGAGCUCUGUUAUUCGUGAAGUUCAUAUGUGCAAGUACCUGUGCUCAUAUUGACGGUACCUAGUCAGAAAGCCACGGCUAACUCCGUG